This 847-nucleotide ribosomal RNA is filed under the name uncultured Bacteroidota bacterium. Its description in RNAcentral is "bacterial SSU rRNA". It matches the Rfam family "Bacterial small subunit ribosomal RNA", at positions 480 to 1332 of the family's 1533-position model. The record is from RNAcentral. Lineage: Bacteria; Pseudomonadati; Bacteroidota.
GCAAGAAUAAGCAUCGGCUAACUCCGUGCCAGCAGCCGCGGUAAUACGGAGGAUGCGAGCGUUAUCCGGAUUCAUUGGGUUUAAAGGGUGCGCAGGCGGUGGGACAAGUCAGUGGUGAAAGCCCUGGGCUUAACUCAGGGAUUGCCAUUGAAACUGUUUCACUUGAGUGUAGUUGAGGACGGCGGAAUGAGUUGUGUAGCGGUGAAAUGCAUAGAUAUAACUCAGAACACCAAUUGCGAAGGCAGCUGUCCAGACUACAACUGACGCUGAGGCACGAAAGCGUGGGGAGCGAACAGGAUUAGAUACCCUGGUAGUCCACGCUGUAAACGAUGAUCACUCGUUGUUGGCUACAAGGUAGUCAGUGACUAAGGGAAACCAUUAAGUGAUCCACCUGGGGAGUACGUCGGCAACGAUGAAACUCAAAGGAAUUGACGGGGGCCCGCACAAGCGGAGGAACAUGUGGUUUAAUUCGAUGAUACGCGAGGAACCUUACCUGGGCUUAAAUGCAGGCUGCAUUCAUGUGAAAGCGUGAUUUCCUACGGGACUGCCUGCAAGGUGCUGCAUGGUUGUCGUCAGCUCGUGCCGUGAGGUGUCGGGUUAAGUCCCAUAACGAGCGCAACCCCUAUCGCUAGUUGCCAGCAUGUAAUGGUGGGGACUCUAGCGAGACUGCCGGUGUAAACCGGAGGAAGGUGGGGAUGACGUCAAUCAGCACGGCCCUUACGUCCAGGGCUACACACGUGUUACAAUGGCCGGUACAAAGAGCAGCGACCUGGCGACAGGGUGCUAAUCUUUAAAGCCGGUCUCAGUUCGGAUCGAAGUCUGCAAUUCGACUUCGUGAAGGUGGAUU